Molecule: long non-coding RNA, 9216 nt
Filed under: Citrus x clementina
Lineage: Eukaryota; Viridiplantae; Streptophyta; Magnoliopsida; Sapindales; Rutaceae
Description: Citrus clementina (C. clementina) long non-coding RNA (CCLE_LNC005420)
Rfam family: tRNA (bases 1939-2022)
Source: RNAcentral
AUUUAAGGAAAAGGAUAAAUUUGUCCAAAGAAAAAAAUUACAAUUCAUUUCCCUAUCAAAUUUUAUGUCAAACCAAACAAUGAAAUUUAAUUUCACUAUUCUCUUCCACUCCUUUCUUCUCCUUUCCCCUCCAUUCCACUCAUUUCCUCUCCUCUUUUUUCGUAAAACCAAACACCACCUAAGAGAUCUUUUUAAGGUGAAUUGGAAUUACCAUACCUGGAAAUUAAAGAACAGCUUUGCAGGUAAUAAUAAAUAAAUGCAGGAACUUAGUCAUCAAUUAGAACAAUACAAAACUAUCGUUUUGUCAAAAUAAAUAAGAGACAAAUCCUUCACGUGUUAAUGUAGCAAACAACAAGAUGUUUGGUCAGUCAAAACAGGUGCAGCAUUUCAUUUUUACCAAUACAAGUUUUCGCAAUUCAACGAUGGAUGCCAUAUAACUAAAGUCUUUAAGUUACAAAAUAUAAAUUCAUUCAGAACAAUACAAAACAGUCAUAUUCACGAUAGCUGUAUUCUUGACACAAAUUGAGUGCCCCUUGGGGUUCAUGAAUAUGCAAUCUCUUCUUUGCUUAGAAAGCAGUUGAAAAAGCUUCACAAGCAAACAAAUGACAGAAGUGUAAAUUUAAAUCAAAUGGUUCAUUAAAAAAUAUUGAAAAUGACUAGUAAAAUUUUAUCAACAACGUGUCCUGUAAUGGUAUACACCUGAGAAAUCCACAAGUCACAACAAAAGAUAAAAAUGAAAAAUCUAUUUUUCUCCUUCUGUUCCCACAAGGCCAAAAUGCAAGCCGAUGGUAAGUAAUGCAAGAUUCAAAAAGGAAUUUUAAUAGCAACAUUUGUAUCCUAUUUCACAAACAUCCUAACAGUAAAUUUUCUAUUUAAAAUUAAAAAACACAAAUUUUUAACUAUAGAUCAAUCAUAAACAUUUCCAAUUGAAAAUGUAGAACCAUUAUUCAUCUUUCAGGGAAAGAGAAAUAACACAACAAGGGGAAAUAAACAACUUACAAUUAAAAUUGUUGGAGUACAAAGAUCCGAAAGAAGAAAAUUAAUUUGAAUCAGGUUUUUUUUUUCUUUUUUUUCCCUCUCUAAUUUGGAGGGAAAGCAGUUUUUCUUCUCUUUAUAUGGAGUGGGACAGAACAUACAAAAGAAGACGCCACAUAAUGACUAAUGAAAACUAUUUACUUGUUUGUUAAUGCAAUCGGAUUUAGGCACCGUUUAUAAUUGAAGUUGGAUAGUUGUAGUUUAAAAGUUAGAGUACUCAAGUGUUCAAUAAAUACUAACUAUUAAAACUUGAAUACUAAGUUGAUUAGAUCUUACACUUGUAUGAUAAAUAAUAUAUUAUAUCCUUACUAAUUUUGUCAAAAUUAUAUUUACUACAUAUUAUUAAUUUUUAUUUCAUAGUUAUAGUCUUUUUUUUUUUGCAACAGUUGUAACGUAAAAGUUAUAGCACUUCAAUACCAAAUAGGGCCUCAGUCACAUAAAUAAUGUUUAUUAAUACCUAUAACAAAUUAAAUACAAGUGACGGGCUGUUAAGGGAUUUGAACUGGUGCUGAAGUGACCUAUAUUUUAUAUUCUUAUCCAAUAACUACAAAUUAUAUAUUUUUGAAAGGUUUGCAAAAAGAUUAGCUCAAUACUAAAUUUAAAUCCGUUUUUAAGACUUCACAAUUAUCCUUUUAAAAUCCUUUUUUUUAAAUUAUUCUUCAUUUAAUACAAAAAUUACCCUUUCUGUCUAAAUUAACAAUCUUUUUAUUUGAAUAUUUAAUUUUUACUAGUUUUUCACUCUCUAACCCUUUUGCCAUCAGUAACAAAAAAAUAAAAAGAUUUUGUAGCUUUGAACCUCACCCUUCAUACAAAUAAUUCUAUGGGUCAUAAACUUUUUAAAGUUUUGUUAUCUCUAUUAUUCUCUUCAAAAUUUCUCUCUCUAUAAAACUCAAAUCAAUAUAUAAGAGAGCAGCUAAGUGGUUCAAGGCAUAGCAUUAGAAGUGCUAUAUAGAUUUUUGUUUACUAGGGGUUCGAAUCCCUCUCUUGCCUUACCUUGAAUUCAUCAAUGAUUAUUAUCCUUUCACUCUUCUAAUUAUCUCAAAAUAACCAACUACUACAAGAGUUAUUAAAGGCUAGUAGUUACUGCAUUAACUAUGAAAAAAUAAUGCUUUACUACUUUUCCAUUACUUCUAUUAGUUGACUGAUUAGUUGACUUAUAAAAUACCAAUACUACUCUUCAUUAAUAACUCUAAAAAUUACAAAAAUAAACAUAAGUUUUGUAUAGGGAAGUAUCCGAUCUAGAAUUACAAUUUAGAAAUUUCAUACUAGAUGGUCACUCAAUUUUGUAAUAUCUAUAACAACUCUAAAUGUUCAGAAGUGUGACAGAACAACCCUGAAUUUGAUUACCAUAUGUAUGUUCUAAAACUUUUACACUUUAAUAAAUCACCCUCCAAAAAUUAUAAUUAAUAAAUCACCCUCCAAAAAUUCUAAUCCUUAAGUCCUUUUCUCUAUCUACAACUUUAUCUUCUUCUCCACUAUCAUAUUUUCCUCUCUCUACAAGUCCUUCCUCUUCUUUAUGCUAGAAAUCAAAUCCAGAACAACACUUUUUCUAUUUUAUAAAAUCAGUGAAAGCUAGCAUCUUUUUCUUGAUUAUGUAUAAAUGCAUAAUGUUAGAGAAACACCUUAGAUUUCUAAUAAAGAACCGUAGAAGAUGGUUGGAAUCUUCUUUGCUAUCCUCAAUAAUCCCCCUCACAUGAGUGGACAUGUAAAAAACUCAAAUUCUAUACACAAAAUGGAAACUGUAGAACAUUAAUUUUUUUUCCAAAAAAAAUCUAUUUGUAAAAGUAUGUUAUCUGUUCUAAUUUCUUCUCUUAUAUAGGCACUUAUUAGAGUUAGAAUUUGACUAGGAAUUGAGCUAGCAAAAGGAUUACAAACCUAUGGGUAUUCUGGCUUCAACUUAACAAUUAAGGUUUAGUCAUCUUAUGACACACCAAAACUAUUAAGUUCACCCCAAGCUGUUCUACUAAAAACUCAAAGUUACACUCUAAUAACCCAUGUAAUUAAAUAAAAGCACAAUUAAUUAAAACUUCUUUUAAUUAAUUUUAGUCUUGGUCUUAGACCAAUAAUAACUACUUAAUAAACCCUCUAUCUGAUGUGCAUUAUUAAAGCCAUGCCCAUGAUGAAUGGCAUGCCUCUAUACUUAUAUAUUUACCCCUAAGUCACUAUGUGUUCUAAUAAUCACUUUCAUUAUAUCUAUAUUUGUAAAUAAAUUUACAAAUAAUAUUAUUAUUCAAUAAAUAAUUUAUAGAAUAAACUGCGUUAUAGAUUUAAAUGAUCAAGUAUCACAAAAAACCUAAAUAAGCAUCAUUCUCUAUCUUGUAAGUGUAUGUUCCCACGAUCCAUGAAAUUGCAUCCCCAAAAUAUUGAGGUUCUGAUCGUUUAUAAGGAUUUCACUCUGUAAUAACUCAAAAGACGUAAUCCAUAAACGCAAGUUCCUUAUCCACUCAGGAUUAAGGUUGAAUGAGCUUAUAUAAAUAUAUAUGAAUUAUGAUCAACAGAAUUUGUUAAACUAUAUCAUAAUUUACUGUAGUCCAGUUGAAUAUGCAUAUCAAAUAUUGACUAUUUUACUCGAAAUCUCUACUUUAGCGAUCAAGAUAGACUCACUCACAAUAAAUAGUAGAAAAGUUACAGUCUUACAUAAUAAAAUGUUUGUUUCCUUAAGAGCUGUGAAAAAUCUUUUAUUUAUAAAGACUGUGUGAUUUAUAUCCUCUAGUAUUGAUAUCAUAUGUUCAAUACAUAUAAAUAUAUUAUAUUAAAACUAGAAAAUGUUAUAUGACUAACACUUUAAGAGUAUAAUAAUAACUCUAAGUUUGACAAUCUCCCACUUGCUUUAAAUAAAAAAAAAUCAUGUUCUUUUGACUAUGCGACUGCCCCACCAUUCUCACAAGAAAGCACAAUGGGCAUCUUAGCAAAAGAAACUACCUCAAGUUCUAUAAAAAUAUUUAGAGUUAUAUAACGUUUUUAGCAGUUUCCAAGAAACGACUACAUAUUCAACUUUCAUAGGGAGUUUGCAACACAAGAUUGUUUUACAAUCCUCCAACUUACAACUCCAUCACCUAAGGUGAACACAUUACUAAAAAUGGAUCUCUGAGUAUCCAUAAUUCCUUGAAAAUUUAAAUUAGUAUACCGUAUAUGUACAAGAUUUUCACUAUGAUACACAAGCAUAUAAUCUCUCGUUCUCUAGAGAUACUUAAGUGUAUGCUUUACUGCAAUCCAAUGCUAUAGUCCUGGGUUUGAUUGAUAUCUAAUGAUCAUACUUACAGGCAAACAAAUAUUUGGUCUAGUACAUAGCAUAGCAUGCAUAAGACUUCUUAUUGCAUAUGCAUAAGGAUAUUAUCUCAUAUGAUAUAUGUCUUCAAGAGUCUUAGGAGAUAGAUCCUUAGAUAGACAUCAUGUAUAUCUGAAAGGGAGUGAACCUAAUUUCUUGGAAUCUUGCAUAGCAAACGGAAGAUAAACCUAUUAUGGAUCUUACAGAAACUUAAUCACAAAAAUGUAACUAGUUUCUCUCAAAUCCUUCAUAUCAAAUUAGGUAGACAACCAAAUUUUAACUGAUGAUAGCAUUCCUACAUCAUUCCCAAUGAGUAGGAUAUUAUCUACUUACAAGACUAGAUAUACAAACAAACGCUCAUCUAUCCUCUUAUAAACACAAGGUUUAUUAGAAUUUUGAUUAAAUCCAAACAAUUUGAAUGCUUAAUUAAAUAUAAUGUUUCAAGAACUAAAAGCAUGCUUUUGGCUAUAGAUAGACCUCUAUAGUUACAAAUAGGGGUGGGCAAAAUCGAAUCGGAACUGAAAAAAAUCGGUUCGGUUUGGAUUUUUUCGGUUUCGGUUCAAUUCUGUUUUUAGAUAAAAAAUUUUAAAAUCUGAACCGCACGGUAUUAAGGUAUUUUUGUAAUUUCACUACAACACAUAUAUACCCAGACCACAAAUGUUUGCACCAGCACCGGUGCACCAUGAACGGACAAACCCACACACCCAAGUCUUAACUCUGUCUGCCAUUGGCUGAUACUGCCGACCUGCUGCUACCGUUCCUUCCAUUGCUCAUUCGCCAGCCAACCAGCCAGCCAGGUAACUCACUUGCUCUGCUUUCUCUCUAUUUUUUUUAAAAUGGGUUUGUUUUUUUUUAAUAACUCUUUAAUCUUUUUAAUUUCAUGGUUUUUUACUUAUUAUUACUGUAUUAGAUUAUUAAUAGUAUUUAGUUUUAUUAGCUUUGUUUGGAUCUACAUAUGUGACUGGAUCUACAAAUGUCACUGAUGCUGGGUGAGAAAUAGAGAAAUUUUGUUAUGGCCUAAUUCGUUUGCAAAUAUUUCAAAAUGGUCCUUGACCGAAAGUCAAUAUUUUAUUUUAUUUUUUUUUAUCAUAAAUUGAUUAUAGUUGGCAUUGUGUGUACGAAUACAUUUAUAGUUAUAUUUAUGUUUACUUUACUCAUUUCAAUUUUAUUUGUGUAGAUUUAAGUUGACAAGUGUGGAUGUUGGAAGUUAUUAAAGUUGGAAGAAGUUGGUGGGAAAUGCGAGCAAAGUAAUGGCAUUUCUUAUGGUUGAUUUUUAAUUUUUAUGUUGUAAUAAUUUCUCAUGGUUAUAGAUGUUGUCUUGGAUGUUGCCUGGAUGUUGUUGGGUAUUUGAUUGUCUUUUAUUUUGUUUUGUGUCAUUGUUGGAAUUUUUUAUUUGUUUUAUGUUGUCAUUGGACUUAUGUUAUGGAAUAUAUUAAGUUAAUUUGGUGAUGAUGAUGAAUAAUUUCAUAGUGGUGAUGACAUAUGUAGUAGUAAUUGUUGCAAACCAUUAAAAAAAAACUAAAUAACCGAUUGCUUAAAUUAAACCAUUAAAAGAAUCGAAAAACUGAUUGCUUAAAUUAAAUCGUUAAAAGAACCGAAACCGAUCCGAAAUUAAAAACCGAAACUGACCUAUUGGUUUUGGUUCAGAUUUUAUUUUCAAAAAAAUCGAACGAUUUUUUUUAAUUUUCGAACCUGAACCAAUCUGAAAUCGAAAAUUUAUUCCAAAACCGAACCGAACAGAUUCUCCUUUCAGCUAUGCCAUUUUGGUAAAGAGUCCUUGGUGCAACUUAUUGAGAUAAAAUCCCAUGUUUUGAUAAAUAGAUCCUAAACUCACUAAGGAGGUAUUCACCACCUCAAUCAGAUCCAAGUGUCUUUAUGUAUUUUCCUAAUUACUUUUUUGCUUCUACCCGAAACUUCUUGAAUUUGUCAAAAACUUCAUACUUAUGGUGCAUUAAGUAUACAUAACCAUACUUUGAAUAACCAUCAAUGAAGAAGAUGAAAUAUUUAUAACCUCCUUGUGCUUAUGUUUCAUGGGCCCACAUACAUCAAAAUGUAAUCACUCUAACAUGUCUAUGGCUUUGUUGCCUUUAGCAUUGAAUGCUCUUUUGGUUAUUUUACCUUCUAAACAAGAUUCAUAGAUCGGUAAUAGUUCUGCAAUUAAUGAACUCAAAGGUCCAAUGCUAACUAAUCUUUGGAUCUUAUCUAUACUUAUAUGACUUAAAUGCAAAUGCCACAGAUACGUUUCAUUAGGAGAUAACUUAAUUUUCUUAUGCCACAGAUAACUUGAUUUUAGUUUGUUGCCUUUAGCAUUGAAUGCUCUUUUGGUUAUUUUACCUUCUAAACAAGAUUCGUAGAUCGAUAAUAGUUCUACAACCAAUGAACUCAAAGGUCCAAUGCUAACUAAUCUUUGGAUCUUAUCUAUACUUAUAUGACUUAAAUGCAAAUGCCACAGAUACGUUUCAUUAGGAGAUAACUUAAUUUUCUUAUGGUAAUUAGAUUCAUUAUUUAAUUAUGUAUUAUGUAGAGAGAGUUGAUUUUAGGAAAUAAAUAGUAUAGAUUGUCAUCUAGUAUACCAGAACAUACAAACGACUUAUUCUUCUUUAUCACUAUAGUUAAGUUAAAAAUAACAAAAUAACCAAAUUUAUUCAAUGCACAAACUAAAAUAAAAUGUCAUCUAAGUUAUGGAACAAAUAAACAAUCAUCUAAUACUAACCUUCUCAAAUCAUCAAAAUAAAGAUGAACUACUCCCACUGCUCUAGCUACAACAAUUAAGCCUCUAGCCCAGCCUAAAACUGAUCUCUCAUCACUAAAUGACUUUGUUUCUUAGAACCUCUGCAACAAAUUGAAAAUAUGAUUAGUGGCUCCAAAAUUUACUAUCCAAGAAUGUAUAGAAUCAACCGUUAGAUAUGUCUCAAUGAAAAGAACAUUACCUGAAAGUAAACUUAUACCCUUAACCUGGGAUACAUUAGCUAAGUAAACUGGGCAAUUUCUCUUCGAAUGCCUCUUUUGUCCUAAAUGAAAACACUUUCUUUUCGGCUUAUUUUCCUUUUUCUAAAUUUGCACUGCCCUUGGGUUUGAUGCCUUUUUGAAUGUAUUCUUCUUCUUUUUUAUACUACACUUUCUUUUAGGAUUACAGCCAGAAUAAGAAGAUUAGUCCUAAGUUAAAUGAACAACCGGUGCUAGCUUUAGAAUAAUUUCUACAACCUUCAACACAUUCAUCAAUCCUAUCAAUGUGCAAUCUUUAUUGCUUAUUGAAAGAUUGAGCUUGAAUGGUUGAAAUGAAAGAGCUAAUCUAGCUAAGACCAUAUCGCUCUACUCUUUAGCAUUGAAAUUCCCACCCAAUUCCUCUACUUGCCAAAAUAGUGCUAUCAUUUUCAUCAUAUGAUCUUGUACAGUGUUCUUUCAGAUUAUAAAGCAUUUGUUAUCUCAUUGAUGAUACCUAAAUUUUGAGUCAUGUCCUUUUUAAUGAAUAUCUCAAAUAAGCUUAACAUUAUUUCAGCAACUGUGGGCAUGUCCUCGUGCUACUUAGACAAGAAAUUGGACAUCGAAGCCAGUACAUAGCAUGUUGCCAUUUCAUCGAACUGUUUCCACUUGUUGUGGGCAUCUCUUUUAGCUUGGACUGUAUUUUCACCAAGUGUAUGUGGGGAAGGGGUGUAAUUUUAUAUUAAAACUUAUUUGUCCUCUUCGCUUGUGAGGACAACAUUAAGACUCCUUGUCCAAUAUAGGUAGUUAGCCCAAUUAACUUAUUCUGGAUUAGAAUUGCUACAAGUAGAUUGAACAACAUAUUUUGAAUAUAACAUAAAAUUAAUAAAUCAUAUGAGCAUAUAUACAUUUCUAAUUGUGAAUUUUAGCAUAAUAAUAAAUGCAUGAAAUGUACAAGCAGAACUCUUUAACUACUUUGAAUUACGCAUCGAUAAUCUAAUUCUGCACUAAAUAAGCCUAUGAAGGUUGGUUAAAUUUGUCGCUUAAUAACCAUGUCUACCUAAAAAAUUUAUUAUUAUCUCUAGAUAUCUCAUAUCAAAUAAUAAUAAUAAAUUACUGAUUUAUUUAACCUCUUAGGUUUGAUUAUUAAGAACUCCGUAGGGAGGAUAUUAACCAAGCUAAGUUAGGCGUAUAACCAUUAUUUCAAUCUUUUGUAUUUCCCAACUAAAACAAUUACAAUAGGGAGUCACUUUUAAUUCUUUAAGGAAGUCCUAUCUAGUAGCCAACUCUAAUUAAUAACUUCCGUGAGGAGCUCAUCCAAUUUAAUGUGAGGCAUUAAUCUACCUUACUAUAAGACCAACAACGGAGGCCAUGGGCUUCAUCUUAGUGAGAGCGUGUCAUAUUAUUUUACUAUUUUCUCAAUCUACCACUUUAGAGAGUGACAGUUUAAUUUAGGGUAUAUUUUCUUUUAAGAGAGUCACUCUUAAUCGUCAGGUUUUAAGGUUUGAUGUAUCAUUCUUAAAAGUGGUUUGAUUAAUGUAGCUCUAAUAAUUGAUCAUUUUACAUGAUUUUACUUAACUGUUUUGUGCGGGUGUGAUUUUCUUUAGGCUGAAGAUAAUGCUUAUACUUUUAUUUGAUUGUUGUCAUUAAUCUGAUGAAAAAAGUAAACACAAUUUAAAAAAAAAAAGAUUUCAAUUUGGUUUUGAAAUUUCGCUAACUUUUAAUCAUUUAAAUUGCUAAGGCCUAGCAAUAAGCUGGUUGGGGGGUGUGAUUGAUACUAAAAAAUGUACAUUUAAUAAGGAUAAAAUUAUUAGUUGUUCUUAUUGUGUCGAUUAAUGCGCUCAUUAUUCUUAAAUUAUCUUAAUACUCCCCAAGUAUAUUUUUAUGCUAAAUUAAUUCACAAUAUGUUAAUUUUUAUCUUGCAAAUAUUUUUCAGGAAUAAAUAUGAAAUUAGAAUUGAAAGCGGGAUCAAAGAAGGACUGUUGGAGCCA